GGGGGCGAUCUUGGUUUCGACGGGGGUUGCGAAGCAGAUGCGGGCAUACCGAGUUCUCAGAAUCUCGUAAAACCCUGAAAUUUAUAUAAUCGCAAACGACGAUUCUUACGCUUUAGCCGCUUAAGGCUUAGCCGUUGCAAUGGUUGGUCGAUGGGCCAUGAGGGGCAACCCUCCGCAACGUCAUUCACAUUGACUGGUUGAUACUUGGGUUACUUAAGUAUCAAUAAGAUCCAAGGUAACUGGUUCAACCUCAGCCUGUCCGUCGGCGGAGUUUGAAUAAGAUUUAAAUUGACAAGACUAAGUAUGUAGAACGCUUUGUAGAGGACUUUCGGACGGGGGUUCAAUUCCCCCCGCCUCCACCA
Molecule: transfer-messenger RNA, 362 nt
Filed under: Vitreoscilla sp.
Lineage: Bacteria; Pseudomonadati; Pseudomonadota; Betaproteobacteria; Neisseriales; Neisseriaceae
Rfam family: transfer-messenger RNA
About the family: Bacterial tmRNA, also known as 10Sa RNA or SsrA, is named for its dual tRNA and mRNA-like properties. Its role is to liberate the mRNA from a stalled ribosome. To accomplish this part of the tmRNA is used as a reading frame that ends in a translation stop signal.
Source: RNAcentral